Molecule: ribosomal RNA, 900 nt
Filed under: uncultured bacterium
Lineage: Bacteria
Description: bacterial SSU rRNA
Rfam family: Bacterial small subunit ribosomal RNA
Source: RNAcentral
AGUCGACGAUGAAUCUUCUAGCUUGCUAGAAGUGGAUUAGUGGCGCACGGGUGAGUAAUGCAUAGGUUAUGUGCCCUUUAGUCUGGGAUAGCCACUGGAAACGGUGAUUAAUACUGGAUACUCCCUACGGGGGAAAGUUUUUCGCUAAAGGAUCAGCCUAUGUCCUAUCAGCUUGUUGGUGAGGUAAUGGCUCACCAAGGCUAUGACGGGUAUCCGGCCUGAGAGGGUGAUCGGACACACUGGAACUGAGACACGGUCCAGACUCCUACGGGAGGCAGCAGUAGGGGAUAUUGCUCAAUGGGGGAAACCCUGAAGCAGCAACGCCGCGUGGAGGAUGAAGGUUUUAGGAUUGUAAACUCCUUUUGUUAGAGAAGAUUAUGACGGUAUCUAACGAAUAAGCACCGGCUAACUCCGUGCCAGCAGCCGCGGUAAUACGGAGGGUGCAAGCGUUACUCGGAAUCACUGGGCGUAAAGAGUGCGUAGGCGGGGUAAUAAGUCAGAUGUGAAAUCCUGUAGCUUAACUACAGAACUGCAUUUGAAACUGUUACUCUGGAGUGUGGGAGAGGUAGGUGGAAUUCUUGGUGUAGGGGUAAAAUCCGUAGAGAUCAAGAGGAAUACUCAUUGCGAAGGCGACCUGCUGGAACAUUACUGACGCUGAUGCACGAAAGCGUGGGGAGCAAACAGGAUUAGAUACCCUGGUAGUCCACGCCCUAAACGAUGGAUGCUAGUUGUUGCCUUGCUUGUCAGGGCAGUAAUGCAGCUAACGCAUUAAGCAUCCCGCCUGGGGAGUACGGUCGCAAGAUUAAAACUCAAAGGAAUAGACGGGGACCCGCACAAGCGGUGGAGCAUGUGGUUUAAUUCGAAGAUACGCGAAGAACCUUACCUAGGCUUGACAUUGAU